RNAcentral lists this ribosomal RNA (342 nucleotides) under uncultured bacterium. RNAcentral's name for it is "bacterial SSU rRNA". It matches the Rfam family "Bacterial small subunit ribosomal RNA", at positions 8 to 352 of the family's 1533-position model. The record is from RNAcentral.
AGAGUUUGAUCAUGGCUCAGAUUGAACGCUGGCGGCAGGCCUAACACAUGCAAGUCGAGCGGAUGAUGGGAGCUUGCUCCUGGAUUCAGCGGCGGACGGGUGAGUAAUGCCUAGGAAUCUGCCUGGUAGUGGGGGACAACGUUUCGAAAGGAACGCUAAUACCGCAUACGUCCUACGGGAGAAAGCAGGGGACCUUCGGGCCUUGCGCUAUCAGAUGAGCCUAGGUCGGAUUAGCUUGUUGGUGAGGUAAUGGCUCUCCAAGGCGACGCUCCGUAACUGGUCUGAGAGGAUGAUCAGUCCCUCGGGAUCCGAGACACAGUCCAGACUCCUACGGCAGGCUGC